RNAcentral lists this ribosomal RNA (400 nucleotides) under uncultured bacterium. Its description in RNAcentral is "bacterial SSU rRNA". It matches the Rfam family "Bacterial small subunit ribosomal RNA", at positions 355 to 747 of the family's 1533-position model. The record is from RNAcentral.
UGGGGAAUCUUGGACAAUGGGGGAAACCCUGAUCCAGCAAUACCGCGUGGGUGAAGAAGGCCUGAGGGUUGUAAAGCCCUUUUAGUGAGGAGGAAGGAGUAUAUGUUAAUAACAUGUACUUUUGACGUUACUCACAGAAAAAGCACCGGCUAACUCUGUGCCAGCAGCCGCGGUAAUACAGAGGGUGCGAGCGUUAAUCGGAAUUACUGGGCGUAAAGGGUGCGUAGGUGGUUACGUAAGUUAGAUGUGAAAGCCUCGGGCUCAACCUGAGAAUUGCGUUUAAUACUGUGUAGCUAGAGUGUUGUAGAGGUAAGUGGAAUUUCCGGUGUAGCGGUGAAAUGCGUAGAUAUCGGAAGGAACACCAGUGGCGAAGGCGACUUACUGGACAAUAACUGACACU